GACGAACGCUGGCGGCGUGCUUAACACAUGCAAGUCGAACGGAAAGGCCCUGCUUUUGUGGGGUGCUCGAGUGGCGAACGGGUGAGUAACACGUGAGUAACCUGCCCUUGACUUUGGGAUAACUUCAGGAAACUGGGGCUAAUACCGGAUAGGAGCUCCUGCUGCAUGGUGGGGGUUGGAAAGUUUCGGCGGUUGGGGAUGGACUCGCGGCUUAUCAGCUUGUUGGUGGGGUAGUGGCUUACCAAGGCUUUGACGGGUAGCCGGCCUGAGAGGGUGACCGGCCACAUUGGGACUGAGAUACGGCCCAGACUCCUACGGGAGGCAGCAGUGGGGAAUAUUGCACAAUGGGCGGAAGCCUGAUGCAGCAACGCCGCGUGCGGGAUGACGGCCUUCGGGUUGUAAACCGCUUUCGCCUGUGAGGAAGCGUGAGUGACGGUAAUGGGUAAAGAAGCACCGGCUAACUACGUG
Molecule: ribosomal RNA, 468 nt
Filed under: uncultured bacterium
Lineage: Bacteria
Description: partial 16S ribosomal RNA
Rfam family: Bacterial small subunit ribosomal RNA
Source: RNAcentral